RNAcentral lists this unclassified non-coding RNA (321 nucleotides) under uncultured Scutellinia. RNAcentral describes it as "sequence contains ITS1". The stretch from base 1 to 105 matches the Rfam family "5.8S ribosomal RNA", at positions 50 to 154 of the family's 154-position model. The record is from RNAcentral. Lineage: Eukaryota; Fungi; Ascomycota; Pezizomycetes; Pezizales; Pyronemataceae.
GAAAUGCGAUAAGUAGUGUGAAUUGCAGAAUUCAGUGAAUCAUCGAAUCUUUGAACGCACAUUGCGCCUCCUGGUAUUCCGGGAGGCAUGCCUGUUCGAGCGUCAUUAAAAGACCACUCAAGCCCCUUUUGCGGGGCCUGGUAUUGGGAGAGGAGUGGCACUCGCUUGCCCCUCCCUUCCGAAAUCCAAUGGCGGAGAGCCCCACGUGCCCCGGCGUAGUAAGUUUUCUUUCGCUCGGAACGUGAGGUGAUCCCGCCGCCAACCCCCCACAACUAUUUCCAGGUUGACCUCGGAUCAGGUAGGGAUACCCGCUGAACUUAA